GGUAGCGUAAUCACCUGUUUCUUAAUUAGAGACCUGUAUGAACGGCACCACGAGAGUCAAACUGUCUCCUUUUUCCAGUCAGUGAAACUAAUCCCCCUGUGAAAAAGCAGGGAUUAUUCAACAAGACGAGAAGACCCUUUGGAGCUUAAGACAAAUAAAAUUUUAUGCUUCUUACUAUUUACCUCGCACCACCAAAUUUUAAUAGUCUUCAGUUGGGGCAACUACGGAGUAAAAACAACCCUCCAAGAUGCAAUGGAACUUUCCUAAACAAAAAGCCACAGCUUUAUGUAUCAAUAAACUGACAUUAUUAGACCCAAUACUUUGAUUAACGAACCAAGUUACCCUAGGGAUAACAGCGCAAUCUACUCUAAGAGUCCCUAUCGACGAGUAGGCUUACGACCUCGAUGUUGGAUCAAGGUAUCCCAGUGGCGCAACAGCUACUAAAGGUUCGUUUGUUCAACGAUUAAAACCUCACGUGAUCUGA
This 484-nucleotide ribosomal RNA is filed under the name Eleutherodactylus sp. CIG-306. RNAcentral describes it as "partial 16S ribosomal RNA". It matches the Rfam family "Bacterial large subunit ribosomal RNA", at positions 1955 to 2608 of the family's 2925-position model. The record is from RNAcentral. Lineage: Eukaryota; Metazoa; Chordata; Amphibia; Anura; Eleutherodactylidae.